Molecule: ribosomal RNA, 275 nt
Filed under: uncultured bacterium
Lineage: Bacteria
Description: partial 16S ribosomal RNA
Rfam family: Bacterial small subunit ribosomal RNA
Source: RNAcentral
CCUACGGGAGGCUGCAGUCGAGAAUCAUUCGCAAUGGGCGAAAGCCUGACGAUGCGACGCUGUGUGAGCGAUGAAGGCCUUCGGGUCGUAAAGCUCUUUCGCUUGGGAACAAGAGAGGUAAGCUAAUAACUUACUAAUUUGAGGGUACCAGGUAAAGAAGCACCGGCUAACUCCGUGCCAGCAGCUGCGGUAAUACGGAGGGUGCAAGCAUUAAUCGGAUUUAUUGGGCGUAAAGGGCGCGUAGGCGGGAAAAUAAGUCGGGCGUGAAAUCCCGG